Molecule: ribosomal RNA, 497 nt
Filed under: uncultured bacterium
Lineage: Bacteria
Description: partial 16S ribosomal RNA
Rfam family: Bacterial small subunit ribosomal RNA
Source: RNAcentral
GACGAACGCUGGCGGCGUGCCUAAUACAUGCAAGUAGAGCGCUGAAGAGAGGAGCUUGCUCUUCUUGGAUGAGUUGCGAACGGGUGAGUAACGCGUAGGUAACCUGCCUUGUAGCGGGGGAUAACUAUUGGAAACGAUAGCUAAUACCGCAUAACAAUGGAUGACCCAUGUCAUUUAUUUGAAAGGGGCAAAUGCUCCACUACAAGAUGGACCUGCGUUGUAUUAGCUAGUAGGUGAGGUAACGGCUCACCUAGGCGACGAUACAUAGCCGACCUGAGAGGGUGAUCGGCCACACUGGGACUGAGACACGGCCCAGACUCCUACGGGAGGCAGCAGUAGGGAAUCUUCGGCAAUGGGGGCAACCCUGACCGAGCAACGCCGCGUGAGUGAAGAAGGUUUUCGGAUCGUAAAGCUCUGUUGUAAGUCAAGAACGAGUGUGAGAGUGGAAAGUUCACACUGUGACGGUAGCUUACCAGAAAGGGACGGCUAACUACGUG